This 3065-nucleotide unclassified non-coding RNA is filed under the name Hevea brasiliensis (rubber tree). The record is from RNAcentral. Lineage: Eukaryota; Viridiplantae; Streptophyta; Magnoliopsida; Malpighiales; Euphorbiaceae.
AUUCUCUCUCUAGACUUGUCCCUGUGGGAAGGGGACUACUACAUAAAGAUGGAACUUUUUCUCAUUAGGUGAACGCGGAGAGAGCCAGCAAGCUCCCAUUUUCUCUAUUAAUCGGAGAAGGUGGCGGAGGACAGUGGUGCACCGCCUCUCCGGUGACGCCGGAUUCAAGUGACGAAGCUAAGUGGGUGCCUGGUUUUAGGGAGAGUGAGAGUGGAGAAUGGGUCAGGGACUCAGUUGUGCAGCGACUCAAGAACAUGGGCUCUUCAGUGCCGUCCAGUCUGGUGACUUGGACACUGUAAAGGCUGUGCUUGAGAGAGACCCAUCUCUUAUGCACCAAACCACUGCUUAUGAUCGCCAAUCUGCACUUCAUAUUGCUGCUGCUAAUGGCCGGAUCGAGAUUUUAUCUAUGCUUUUGGAGCGAUCUAUGGAUCCAGAUGUUGUGAAUCGUCACAAACAGGUAGCUUUUUCUGAUUGUUUUUGAAUGUGAAUGUCUCAUUUUCUUUGAAUUGUUUGAUCUUGUGGUUUUCCUUUCCUUGCCUUUGGUCUAUACUUAACAGUAAUUGUGAUUUUUUGAUUGUGAAUGGUGAGUAGACUCCGCUUAUGCUGGCUGCGAUGCAUGGCAAAAUAGCUUGUUUGAAAAAGCUAAUCGAAGCUGGAGCAAAUGUAUGUCAAAAUUGGAAUGUUUUCUCUCUUCUGUAUAGAUGUUGUUAGCUUUGGAUAUUAUAUUGAUAAGGCUAAUCUUUGUGAUUUAAUCAGAUUUUAAAGUUUGAUUCACUUUAUGAAAGAACUUGCUUGCACUAUGCUGCUUACUACGGCCAUUCUGAUUGCCUUCAAGCUGUACUCUCUGCUGCUCAAUCUAGCCCUGUUGCUGUCUCUUGGGGAUAUGCACGGUUUGUCAAUAUUAGAGAUGGUAGGGGAGCUGCACCAUUGCAUUUAGCAGCCCGUCAAAGAAGACCCCAAUGUGUACGUAUCUUGUUAGACAAUGGAGCUCUUGUCUGUGCUUCAACAGGCGGAUAUGGCUGCCCAGGGAGUACUCCUCUUCAUUUGGCAGCCAGAGGAGGAUCUCUUGAUUGCAUCCGUGAAUUGCUGGCAUGGGGCGCAGAUCGUUUUCAAAGAGAUGCAUCUGGGAGAAUACCCUAUUUAGUUGCUUUGAAGCAUAAGCAUGGAGCUUGUGCAGCCCUACUAAAUCCUUCUUCAGCUGAGCCUCUUGUCUGGCCAUCACCUUUAAAGUUCAUCAGUGAGCUUAAUCAGGAAGCUAAAGCUUUGCUAGAACGUGCCUUAAUGGAGGCAAACAAGGAGAGGGAGAAGAAAAUCUUGAAGGGAACUGCUUAUUCACUUCCAUCUCCAUCACAUUCUGAUUCUGGCGCAGAUGACAAUAUAUCUGAGGUAAAAGCUUUUGAGAUAUUGUUUUGAAAUAAGCUUUUUAUUUUUUGGGGUUUAAAGCACAGUUGUUUUGGUCCUGACUGAAUUUAUGAGAGUUUCAAAUUGUUGGAUUACGAUUGGUCAACACAACUAGUUUUAGAACUUGUUCUUAAACUCAUUAUCAUCAUUCCAAGUUCUCAUGGUAGAUAAAUGGUGAGCCAGUGCAUGAAGCGUCCUAGUUCUCAUGAUAAAUAGUUAUCUUGUAUUUAGCAGCUAGGUUCUUUUUCUGCUACUUCUAUAAAUGAAAAGCAAUUGAGGCCAAGUUGAGCGUAUUUACAACAAUACUCAUUGUUAUCAUCUGAACUAUUUGAGAAAAGUUAGCAGGUGGCUGGAAAUUAUGGGACUAAUUGAGUCUGCAUUUGUUGGGUCACUAUAUAAUGCAGGCAAGCGAUACAGAGCUGUGCUGCAUAUGUUUUGAGCAGGUGUGCACAAUUGAAGUGCAAGACUGUGGUCACCAGAUGUGUGCGCAGUGCACACUAGCCCUAUGCUGCCACAACAAACCAAACCCAGCAACUGCAUGCAUAAACCCUCCAGUUUGCCCGUUCUGUCGAAGCUCCAUUGUCUGCCUAGUGGUUGCCAAAGUCAAAGAUUGUGAGGAUGCUGAUCAGGAAAUUGGAGACAUUGGUUCACCAAAGAUGAGGAAAGCAAGGAGGUCACGAAACUUCAGUAACGAGGGAAGCAGCAGCUUCAAGGGCUUAUCGGCGAUGAGUCCAUUUGGAAAAAUGGGCGGCCGUGGCUCAGGAAGACUUGCUACAGAAAAUGAAUGGGUCGAUAAGCCUUAAGAUACUUUGUAGCAUUUGGCAAUCAAAGAUUCCAAGUAGCAAUCAAGGAUUCCUUGUGCUCCAAAGAAGUGCAAAAAUAUCAAAGGAAUGGAUAUCAGUGGCAGAUCCAGUUGGUAUAUACAUAUAACUAUAUAUAGGGAGAGGUCCAUUUGCUUUGUAGAUCUGAGGAAUAAGCGAAAGAUGAUUGCAGGUUUGGGUUGGUAAGCUUUGGUAAUAUAGUUGCUGUGGGUCAUAUUGUUGUAAUCUUUUGUUUACUUGAGAUUGAAGAAGCAUUGGUUAUUAUUUUGACGGUCUUGUUAGAUACCUGAAUUGGUGAAACAAAGAAAAAUUCUUUUCUUCUUCACAUUAAAAAAAUCAACUUUCUUGAAUGUCUGCUUCUGCAAAAGGCACCUUAAGUCAAGCAAAACAAAGCAUUCCUAAUCCUACAUGGGUUUUGGACUUGAAUUUUCAAGUGUAAUAUGGUAGGCCUUCUAGAAAGGUGGUUGUCAUGUGAAUCUGCAAACUGCAAUCAUAUUUCAUUGGCUGGUAUGAAUAAUAAUAUUCUGAAAAAAUAGAAACAAGGCGUUAUGGAUGGGGUGGGACCCUAUGAACCUGAACGUACGACAUGUGGAAGAGAAGGUGGGCCUACAUAUAAGAGAAAAAAGCCUUAUGAGUAGCAGAGAUAGUCACCUAGCUUGGUGUGGAGGGUGCCAGUGAUGGGUGGUCUUUUUUUUUAUAUAUUUGGUAAUAAAUAGUAUUGGGAGUUUGUAUAAAGUAGCAAACAGGUGUUCUCGUGUGGAGGCAGUCCAAAGAGGCAUAUAUUGCUCUUCUUUCUUAUCUUUUACUAUUAUUUCCUGAUGCAGACACCUUCUUGACUUGUUU